GACAGAGGGUGCAAACGUUGUUCGGAAUUACUGGGCGUAAAGCGAGUGUAGGCGGUUUGGAAAGUCGGAUGUGAAAAGCCCCGGGCUCAACCCGGGAAGUGCACUCGAUACUCCCAGCUAGAGUAUCGGAGAGGUUGGCGGAAUUCUCGGUGUAGAGGUGAAAUUCGUAGAUAUCGAGAGGAACACCGGCGGCGAAGGCGGCCAACUGGACGAAUACUGACGCUGAGACUCGAAAGCGUGGGGAGCAAACAGG
RNAcentral lists this ribosomal RNA (253 nucleotides) under uncultured bacterium. RNAcentral describes it as "partial 16S ribosomal RNA". It matches the Rfam family "Bacterial small subunit ribosomal RNA", at positions 524 to 776 of the family's 1533-position model. The record is from RNAcentral.